RNAcentral lists this ribosomal RNA (253 nucleotides) under uncultured bacterium. RNAcentral's name for it is "partial 16S ribosomal RNA". It matches the Rfam family "Bacterial small subunit ribosomal RNA", at positions 524 to 776 of the family's 1533-position model. The record is from RNAcentral.
UACGUAGGGGGCAAGCGUUGUCCGGAAUCAUUGGGCGUAAAGAGCGUGUAGGCGGUCCGGUAAGUCGGCUGUGAAAGUCCAGGGCUCAACCCUGGGAUGCCGGUCGAUACUGCCGGACUAGAGUUCGGAAGAGGCGAGUGGAAUUCCCGGUGUAGCGGUGAAAUGCACAGAUAUCAGGAGGAACACCAAUUGCGAAGGCAGCUCGCUGGGACGUUACUGACGCCGAGACGCGAAAGCGUGGGGAGCAAACAGG